UACCCGGCUCUGGCUUUUUUUUCCAAUACAUUUAUUUUGUAUCUGCGUAGGUAUGCACAUGCCAUGGGGUUGGUAUGGAGGUCAGAGGACCACCUGUGGGAGUUGGUUCUCUCCUUCCUCCAGGGGGGUUCUGGGGAUCCAGCUCAGGCUGUCAGUCAUGGCAGCAAGCACCUUUACUCCCUGAAUCACCCCUCAGCCAAUAUUUUUAAGGGUCUCGUGUAGCCCAGGUUGGCCCCCAACUUGCUAUGUAGCCAUGGAUAACCUUGAACUUCUUCUCUUCACCUUCCAAAUGCUAAGAUUAUAAGCAUGUGCUAUACUCAGUGUACAAGGGGCAGAGGAUGUGACCCAUGGCUUCCUGUAUGCAAGCUCCCUACCAGCCAGCUUUAUCUCCAGCAUUCAUAUGUUUUAUGGUGUGUGUGUGGGGGUCAGAUAACUCAAAAACAUGUUCCCUUCUACCACAAGGGUCCUGGGUGUUGAACUUAGGUCGUCAAGUAUGGCAGCAAGCUCAUUUACCAGCUGAGCAAUCAUACUGACCUAAAAUUUUCUUAAGAUGUCACUAUUUAUGGUACAUCCUUUGUGUCUACUUAGAUCUAUGUCAUUAAUAUUAGCAAACAAAAGAAUGGAGGUGCUAGGCAUUCAGGACAGUUGGCAUUUUGACUAAGGAUGGCAGGACCCAUCCUCACUUCUUUAUUUUUUUUUUUUUUUGGUUUUACAAGACAGGGUUUAGAGAUCCGCCUGCCUCUGCCUCCCAAGUGCUGGGAUUAAAGGCGUGCACCACCGCCGGACCCCAUCCUCACUUCUUAAGCCACUGAGCUCACUUUCCCAAUCCUGAGUGAAAACAUCUGGGAGCUUUUCCAUAACAGAAACUUUGUGAGCUGGGCCUGGCUCAAGCCCCACCUCUAAGGAUGCCUUCCUCUAGGUGAUUUUCAGAUGCACAGUUUGAUCCUCAGGGGUGUGGUUGGUGCACCUCUGCUGUCGAAGCGCUUGGGAGGUGGAGGCAGGAGGAGCCAGCCGUUCGAGGUUACCAUUGCAGAUGUGAGUGGGGGAAAGGAAACAUUUGGGAAGUAAAACUUGAUUGUUUGUUUUGGUUCUGGUUUGUUUUUCCGAGACAUUGUUUCUUUGUGUAACCCUGAUUGUCCUGGACUACAUCUGUAGACUAGGCUGGCCUUGAACUCACAGAGAUCCGCCUGCCUCUGUCUCCCCAGUGCUGGGAUUAAAGCCAUGCACCACCACACCUGGCAAGAACUGAUAUUUUUGCUUUUGCAAAUUAUGCCCCAUGCGCUGUCCUACGCCAUGUGUACCCAUCCUGAGGACAGCUGAGGAGAGUACCCAUCCUGAGGACAGCUGAGGAGAGUGUUGUGGGGAUGUCCUUGUUACUGACUGGGUGCAGAUCUGACAGGGGAUGCUCGUCGGGUUGACUUUCAGAGUGGUGGUUCUUUAUAUGCCAGAGCCAUAGGCAUCGCCCGGGAAGUGGUUGGACUCCCUGAAUGAAAAGCAAGGAAGUGGGAUCUAGCAAUUGUGUGUGUGUUGCCAUGGAUAGGACACAGUGCCUUAGCACAUUAUGAGGCAAGCACUCUACCACUGAACCACACAGCCAGCCCAGCAAUCUGUCUCCAAGCUAACAAGCUGCUUGGUAGUGAUCCGGAAGCAGGACCAAGUUCAAGCUCAGCUGGUAGAAUGGAAGGGACCACAUGUAAAUCAUUUACUUCACUCAACAGCUUCCCCCUCCAACAUCACUCCAAAACCAACGGCGACCGAACUGGACUUUGGACCUAGACAUGUGUGGUGCCAUUAUCCUUCCCCCACCUCCGUAGGACGUGCAGCACUCAGGCCCAGGUUAAUAUCACACUUGAUUUUUAUCACGCAAGACUGGGGUGCUUCCAUCUGGAGAAUUUUAUUCACCACCGUUGCUUGUACUGUUCUAAGCCACGUCUUUUUCAUGUAUCAAAUUAACCCUUAAUUCGGCGGUCUUCAGUUUCGACUGAUCCUAGAGAGCUUGAAAAACCACCGACAUUUGGGUCACAGCCCAAGUUUCUGACUUAACAAGAUCUGGAUCGGUUCUUCACUCCGGCCCACCGAGAACCGCUGCUGGAGAGCAGGCAGGCACAGACGUUGCAGACCAGCCAGGAUCGGGUGGCCCACUUGCCCACCAGGUGAUAGGGAAGGAGCACAGCACCUGCUCUCUGUGAGGCCUGUCUGUUGGCCCAGUGGUGUCUCUCGCCAAGGAGGAGCUUGUAAGAUCCAGUGAGGAUGGUCUUGACCUGGUGGUGGUUCGAGCUCUCUGAAAUUCUUAAACUCCAGCUCUCUCUGAGUUGGAAGAAGAUGCAAGGUACCCAAAACACUGCUACAGUCUCAGAGGAUCGCAUUUUGGAAUAGUGACCUGCCCUUGAGCCCACUAAGUGUCACUCCCCACUUCUCAUUUCUUGGCUCUGAAUUUAGAGCUGUCCCCUUAGCAACCAUGGUUUCCAUGGUUUCCUCCAUGACAACGAUCCCCAAACCCCUCCUCUCUUUUACCUCAUGACAGUAAUGGGUGAUAGGAAUCCUCAGUGUGGCCACUCCAUGUAACCAUGGUAACAAUUAAUUGAGCCUUCAUGUAUCUUUUGUGAGGCAGGCUGGGAGAAUAUGAAGCUUUAGAUAAGGAGGAAGAGCCCGAGGUGGGGGUAGGCACAGCACUUGAACUACCAUUGUCACAGAGAAGUCAGAGGGCUUUUCUUGGUACUGUCCCGGAAGAUUUAGUCUUGAGCCCCUGCUUCAACCUUGGAAGAAUCAGAGCCCCUACUAUGGAAGCACAGCCUCGCCCUGGAGCGCAUGGUCCCACUGAAUUCAGCCCAGCAUGGGGAGGGGGGAGAAGGUGUCCCUUGAUGGUGUCUGUCCCAAGAAUCCAGGAGGGACAAACUGAGCCUGUACUCACAGUCAGGCAUCCUCCAGGUGUGCUUGUCCCGGACGAAGAGAAUCUUCAGUGGACUCCCCCGACGCACCUUUUCCCUGAGAACUGGAAUCCACAUCCGCAUUUCAGGGCUUGGAGCAGAGAAGAAGGAAACAAACGGUGACAGAAAAGCUGACCUGCCCCCACACUGUUCCAGGGACCAUCACCUACCUGCCAGGAGCCUUCCCGAACAGUGGCCAGUCUGCCCUUCUCCUGUAUUUGAGUCACUGUCUCCAUCCAUCCUGUUUUCACACCGAAAGGGCAGCUGCCAACAUGCCAAAGAGCAAACGCAAAACCAUCCUAGAGCGCCAAGGCUGAGCAGAGUCCCCAGCACAGAGAUGCCUGCCCAUCGCAGGGAUUCCCUAGACACUCGGACCCCUGGAGAAAUGAGAAAGCCGAGCCCCCCUCCCAUUCCCUUCCUGUACAAACCGCAUCUCACCUCCUGGCCUCGUCUGAACGGAUUCUGUGGAAGCGUGGGGGAAUGGGCCUCGCAGGGUGAUCAGAGCGUGGGAACCGACCUCAGAUUCUGGGAGGACCAGGUGCUGUCCAGCUUCUGGUGCUGAAUGAAUGGUGCUGAAGCUGGAUUCCUCAGGGAGGGGCUGCAGGGACCUUAAUACGGGAUCCUGACCUCUAGACAGGGACCCACAGAGUAGAAAGAGGAGCCUUGGAUGUGUGUGCCCCGUUUUCACCUUUUCAGUAGCUGCUCCCCCGGCCCCCACAGUCCCUUGACUUCCCCGGGCUAGCGGGGCCACCAGCUGAUGGCGCAAGGGUAGGAAGGGGGGUUGGUUGCGUUGGGCUGGUUACCCUCUGCUUCUCCCGGCACUGUAUACGUUUGCCUUCUGUGUGCGCUGGACCCUCGAGAUGUUCCCCAGCAGGAUCACGGCUGACUUCUGCGUGGACUCCUGGCGCUCCGACCUUGCGGGACGCUUUCCUGCAGGCAACAGGUCGGCUGCAUCUGGAGUUUGGGCGGAAGGCGUGGAAGACCCGGCGGCGGCAGCGCGGGGCUUCGCCCUCACACCCCUUUCUUUACUCCAGGUGGCCAGAGAGCUCAGUGCGGGCUCCCGAGCCGGUUUCUCAGCCCUCCGGUCUGGAGGAAGGGAGACACCAUACCCGCGGUCAAGCGGCCCCCUCCCCUAUCCUCCCCUCCCCUCCGGGGCAGCCGCGGGAGCUGGGGUUGGGGCUUGGGGUUGGGCUGCUCCUCAAAUCUGAGUCUUGACCAGGGGAAGGGACUGGAUGGGAGCGCUGGCUGGGAUUGAGACAGCCGUGGGGGUGGAGGGUAGCCUCUGCUCUCUGAUUCCUUCUGGAAGAAACCCCCUCCACCCCGGAGAGCCUUCGGUGGGUACUUGCCAGUCUCCGGCCGUCUGUCCUGUCCGCCGCAGUGCUCGCGCUAAGGGGAGACAGGUAGGUCUGGAGUCGCAGCAUGCUCCCAAGCGUGGACAUGGUGGCCGCCGGCUGGACUUCGGAGGGACAGGGGCACAGCUGCUUUAAAGGCGAGACCAGCCUACAGGUGGCCUGUCAGGGAGGCUGACGUCUCUGACGUCAUCUUGAAGGCAAGCGGGGGGGGGGGAGGAUGGAGAGGAGGGGGUCAUCGUGCUUCACAUCAAAAGUCCCCUGUGGCCAUGGCAACAGCUUCCGAGGAGAGGCGAAGGGAUCCAACGCCUGCCCAAAGCCCCCCUCUCUCUCCAGAGGGCCCCAGUGAGCGGCUUCAGGAGUCCUGAAUUUAGCCUGGCUCGCACCUAGCAAUGCAAUCAGUGUAGGGUCCUCCUCGGGGUCCUUGCCCAGGCUGGUGAGAACCUGAGGUCGGCUGCCCUUAGGCUCUCAGAGGUGACCUAGCAGAAUCCUGCAUUUCAUAAGGUCACUUCUAGCCUCCAACUCCAUCCCCACCCAGCCGGUGAGAUCUGGUUCACCUGACCACACGCAGCGAUUUUUCUUUAAUUCAAGGACUUCAAAGCUCAAGGCUCCCACUCACUCUCCACCGACUGGCGCUCCUGGGCUCCCCCCACCCACGAGGCGGCACCCACGCAGAGCCACCUGUCUCUCGUUCCUCAUACCUGACCUGGAAGCUCGCCCAGGGCUCCAGAAAGCAACCAACCAGACCAGGAAAUAGUAAACCCUCCUAGGAUCUUGGGCAACGAACUCCGUAGACACAGAAGCAUUUACUGACCCUCUCCCUAGUCAGAAAGAUUGGGAGAAUUCCAUAUGGAAAUCUGGAUUUUCCUCUUCCAUGGAGACCUGAUGCACUACAUGCUUCCCUUGUUGAAACGGCCUGCCUCUCCUUUUGUCACCUGUCUCAUAUACAUUUCUCCUUAUAAUAAAGGGGGAGGUGACUUUUGUUUCACCCUCGCCUGUGUCACUUCACCGGUGCUUGCUAUUCACAGGGUCUUGGAGGCACUGCUCAGACGUUAGUGAUAGCUUUCCCCAGGGGCAAUUCCCUCACUGGAAAGUGCCCCGCAGGCCCAACUCUGGCCCAGGCCAGAAGAGAGCACCAGAUCUCAUUAUAAAUGGAGACACCAUGCGAUUGCUGGGA
Molecule: long non-coding RNA, 5453 nt
Organism: Mesocricetus auratus (golden hamster)
Lineage: Eukaryota; Metazoa; Chordata; Mammalia; Rodentia; Cricetidae
Exons: 5
Source: RefSeq, a predicted model, not a curated record